CGGUUCUUCGAAAAAGUUGAGAAAUAAUAAGAGGAGAUGAAUUUGAAAUUUUAAAUAAUUUUAUUAUAACAAGAUCAUGAGAAAUAAAUAAUAUAUAAGACAUUAUUGUAAGCUUGAGAAUGAUAUGAAGAAUGUAUACUUUGAAAUAUAUCUCAACAACAUAACUUAAUUUUGAGGACGAAAUUAUUUGAAGAGGGAAGAAUGUAACACCCCG
This 214-nucleotide long non-coding RNA is filed under the name Elaeis guineensis (African oil palm). RNAcentral's name for it is "long non-coding RNA (EGUI_LNC079463)". The record is from RNAcentral. Lineage: Eukaryota; Viridiplantae; Streptophyta; Magnoliopsida; Arecales; Arecaceae.